Pseudoliparis swirei is the source of this 724-nucleotide long non-coding RNA. RefSeq lists it as uncharacterized. The record is from RefSeq and is a predicted model, not a curated record. The transcript has 2 exons. Lineage: Eukaryota; Metazoa; Chordata; Actinopteri; Perciformes; Liparidae.
CGAGCAGCAGGCGGACUCACAGAGAAACCCUCAGCCCUCCACGAAGACAAAUGGGGCUGAAGGUAGCAUCACAGGUGGCCUACUCACAAACCUGGCAUCCCGCGCAUCUCUUACUUCUGCUCCAUCACUGAAAGCGGGCCGACCAUCUGCUCUUCUUUGUGUGAAACCUUUUAUUUAGGGUGUUUCAGGAUGAUCUGUUAAUUUGUGCACUUUAACAGCAAGUUAUAAUACACCCGCUGAUAGUAGUUAGUGUUCUGAUUCGAUACCGACUACAUCUGUUGUGUGAUAUAGUAAAGAUAUUGCUAGUAUGACUCGACACAAACAUUACUGAGGGUUUGAAAACGCUGGAUGAUGUUCAUCAUAUUUUCUUUAAAUCAGGCAUUUAACAGAAGCAUGCCAUCCAUUUUAAUCCUGCAAGUACACACUCAUAUUUCAGGAAAAAAAUGCAAAUGUACAAAAUAACAUCAACGGUUUUUAUAUCAAGUGACUUUAAUUUCCCCCACAUAUUCGAAACACAGUAGUCGUCUACUUCAAGAAGACUAGCAGGAUGGAUCCGAGCAUUAUUUGCAUCCGUGUGUACCCUUGAGCAAGGCCCUUAAUCCUCAACUGCUCCCUGGCUUCUCGCUGCGUUUGUGAAACCUGAAACCACCUGAUAUCUUUUCCUUGAUUUGUAUGAAUGCUAAGUGUUUCUCUCUCCCUGGGUUACAUUAAAAUGUACAUCCUG